This 360-nucleotide ribosomal RNA is filed under the name Piloderma sp. 3 GM 04-19. RNAcentral describes it as "eukaryotic LSU rRNA". The stretch from base 64 to 218 matches the Rfam family "5.8S ribosomal RNA". The record is from RNAcentral. Lineage: Eukaryota; Fungi; Basidiomycota; Agaricomycetes; Atheliales; Atheliaceae.
UUGUAUGUGUCAUAGAAUGUAGAUUGAUAUUCUCGCCCUAAAAAAGCGUUGAUAAACUUAUACAACUUUCAACAACGGAUCUCUUGGCUCUCGCAUCGAUGAAGAACGCAGCGAAAUGCGAUAAGUAAUGUGAAUUGCAGAUUUUCAGUGAAUCAUCGAAUCUUUGAACGCAUCUUGCGCUCCUUGGUAUUCCGAGGAGCAUGCCUGUUUGAGUGUCAUUAAAUUCUCAACUCUGAUUGAUUUGUUUCAAUCCCGGAGCUUGGACGUGGAGUGUGCCGGCGCGAGUCGGCUCCUCUCAAAUGCAUCAGUGGAAAUUCAACCUUUGGUUUCUGGACGUCAGUGUGAUAAUCACGUUGCGCU